RNAcentral lists this ribosomal RNA (487 nucleotides) under uncultured bacterium. Its description in RNAcentral is "partial 16S ribosomal RNA". It matches the Rfam family "Bacterial small subunit ribosomal RNA", at positions 28 to 523 of the family's 1533-position model. The record is from RNAcentral.
GACGAACGCUGGCGGCGUGCUCUACACAUGCAAGUCGAACGAUGAUGCCCAGCUUGCUGGGUGGAUUAGUGGCGAACGGGUGAGUAACACGUGAGUAACCUGCCCCUGACUCUGGGAUAAGCCUGGGCAACUGGGUCUAAUACUGGAUACGACAUUCUCCUGCAUGGUAUGGGCAUGGAAAGGGUUUCUGGUUGGGGAUGGGCUCGCGGCCUGUCAGCUUGUUGGUGGGGUGAUGGCCUACCAAGGCUUUGACGGGUAGCCGGCCUGGGAGGGUGACCGGCCACACUGGGACUGAGACACGGCCCAGACUCCUACGGGAGGCAGCAGUGGGGAAUAUUGCACAAUGGGCGGAAGCCUGAUGCAGCGACGCCGCGUGAGGGAUGACGGCCUUCGGGUUGUAAACCUCUUUCAGUAGGGAAGAAGCCUUUCGGGGUGACGGUACCUGCAGAAGAAGCGCCGGCUAACUACGUGCCAGCAGCCGCCGUAA